GUUAAAACCGCAGAACUUUCAUUCAAGAAAAUAUUUGUACUGGAAGAAUGAAUUCCUUGGUCUUCUUUUUACAUAGAGAAGCAACGUGUACCAUUCAAGGACAGAGGAAGAACACGUGUUUUAAGGCAACUAUCAUUUGAAGAUGCUGAGUGUAACUGUAUGUGUUUAAUAGUGUAUCUGGCAACAAUUGGACCUGGAAUAUGUGAG
This is a non-coding RNA of Pelobates cultripes (western spadefoot toad), 207 nucleotides long. The record is from the annotation of a GenBank genome assembly. Lineage: Eukaryota; Metazoa; Chordata; Amphibia; Anura; Pelobatidae.